This 766-nucleotide ribosomal RNA is filed under the name uncultured archaeon. Its description in RNAcentral is "bacterial SSU rRNA". It matches the Rfam family "Archaeal small subunit ribosomal RNA", at positions 318 to 1087 of the family's 1478-position model. The record is from RNAcentral.
UCGCCUUACGGGGUGCAGCAGGCGCGAAAACUUUGCAAUACACGAAAGUGUGACAGGGCUAUCCCGAGUGCCAUCCGCUGAGGAAGGCUUUUACCCAGUCUAGAACGCUGGGGGAAUAAGGAGAGGGCAAGUCUGGUGUCAGCCGCCGCGGUAAUACCAGCUCUCCGAGUGGUGUGGAUGUUUAUUGGGCCUAAAGCAUCCGUAGCUGGCUAAGUUAGUCCCUUGUUAAAUCCACCGAAUUAAUCGUUGGAUUGCGGGGGAUACUGCUUGGCUAGGGGACGAGAGAGGCAGACGGUAUUUCCGGGGUAGGGGUGAAAUCCUAUAAUCCCGGGAAGACCACCAGUGGCGAAGGCUGUCUGCUAGAACGCGCCCGACGGUGAGGGAUGAAAGCUGGGGGAGCGAACCGGAUUAGAUACCCGGGUAGUCCCAGCUGUAAACGAUGCAGGCUAGGUGUUUGGACGGCCACGUGCCGUUCUAGUGCCGCAGGGAAGCUGUUAAGCCUGCCGCCUGGGGAGUACGAUCGCAAGAUUGAAACUUAAAGGAAUUGGCGGGGGAGCACCACAAGGGGUGAAGCUUGCGGUUUAAUUGGAGUCAACGCCGGAAAUCUCACCGGGAGCGACAGCAGUAUGAAGGCCAGAUUAAAGGUCUUGCCAGACGAGCUGAGAGGAGGUGCAUGGCCGUCGCCAGGUUCGUGCCGUGAGGUGUCCUGUUAAGUCAGGCAACGAUCGAGACCCCGCGUCCUCUGUUGCGACUAGCUUUGAGCUGG